RNAcentral lists this ribosomal RNA (269 nucleotides) under uncultured prokaryote. RNAcentral's name for it is "partial 16S ribosomal RNA". It matches the Rfam family "Bacterial small subunit ribosomal RNA", at positions 524 to 792 of the family's 1533-position model. The record is from RNAcentral.
UACGGAGGAUGCGAGCGUUAUCCGGAUUUAUUGGGUUUAAAGGGUGCGUAGGCGGGAAAAUAAGUCAGUGGUGAAAUCCUACAGCUUAACUGUAGAAUUGCCGUUGAUACUGUUUUUCUUGAGUAUGGUCAAGGAAGGCGGAAUGUGUAAUGUAGCGGUGAAAUGCUUAGAUAUUACACAGAACACCAAUUGCGAAGGCAGCUUUCUGGCCCAUUACUGACGCUGAGGCACGAAAGCGUGGGGAGCAAACAGGAUUAGAUACCCUGGUA